GUCCAUGAGGCUGCGGAUGGCUCAUUAGUACAGUUAUUAACCUACGCGUCAGAUACACGCCUUUCAUCGAGGUGUGCCAUGGACAACUGCCGUAACUCGGGAGCUAAUACAUAUCGUUCCGGCUCAUACGUUUUGCAUAAAAACGAGCCGCGUUCGUUUAGUACAAGCCCCUGUAAAAGCAUGAACCUGGCCGGCCUUCGGGCCGGCCAGUAGUGAUUGUGGCGAACGCAGUUGAUCGCAUGUGCCCUUCGUUGGCUCGGCGCGUCUUGAGCUCGGGUUUCUGCCCUAUCAGCUCGACGCAUAGGUAUUGCCUAUGCAGGGCCGUAACGGGUACGGGGAAUCAGGGUUCGAUUCCGGAGAGGGAGCCUGAGAAAUAGCUACCACCCCUAAGGGGGGCAGCAGGCGCGAAAAUUACCCAAUGCUAACACAGCGAGGUAGUCACGAGAAAUACCGAUACUGCCGUCGUCAAGACGGCGGUAAUUGGCAUGUGAACAGUCUAAACCGCUUAACUAGGAUCAAUUAGAGGACAAGUCUGGUGCCAGCACCCGCGGUAAUUCCAGCUCUAAUAACGUCGCCCUAAUUUGCUGCAGUUAAAACGCUCGUAGUCGGCGCCCAGUCUGCCGUGUUUAAUAAUGGUACCCAGCUAGAGCCCCCUUCGACCCCCGCAGCCCGGACUCGUUCCGGACCGCGACGGGAAGAUCGCCGGGCCGCUGGCGUGCCGACAUGGCAGGCGUGUUACUUUUGUAUGAACUUGCACCGGCGUCGGUCCUUGCGACCGGCACCGGUCUGAGCGUACUGUUUUACCGUAAGGAAAAUAGAGCGCUCGAGGCAGGCUAGAAUACCGGUACUCCCGGUAGCUAACCACGUGCCGCCCUUAAAAGCGGCACGGAGUGCAUACACUAGUACGGGACAACUCAAUAGGCCUCACCUCCCGGGGGCUUGUUGGGCUAUGACUCGUGCGGCCAAGGUCCACCCCGGUCAUCCGGGAUGGGCCUCGCACGGGGGGCAAUACGCAAUAGGGGCGGUUGGGGGCAUACGUAUUAUCGGGCUAGAGGUGAAAUUCUUGGACCCCGAUAAGACGACCGGAUGCGAAAGCGUUUGUCAAAAACGUUUUCAUUGAUAAAGAACGAAAGUUUAGGGAGCGAAGAUGAUCAGAUACCGUCGUAGUCUAGACUGUAAAAGCUACCGACGGGUUAUUGGCACGCGUCCAAUAUACGACCCCGCCAGCAACUUUCACUAUGUCUAAAAUGGAAACUAGAGUGAUGGGUUCUGGGGGGAGUAUGGUCGCAAGACUGAAACUUAAAGGAAUUGACGGAAAAAUACACCAGGAGUGGAGCUUGCGGUUUAAUUUGACCCAACACGGGAAAACUUACGAGGUCAGGAUAAACAAUGGAUUGACAGACCAAAUGAUCUUUCUUGAUCGUUUAAGUGGUGGUGCAUGGCCGUUCUUAGUUGGUGGAGUGAUUUGUCUACUUAAUUGUGCUAACGAACGAGACCUUGCCCUGCUAACUAGCAACGGGGUUAAACUAUAUUAAGCAUAAAGGACCGCACCGGCGCUGCCGGGCCGAGACAGGCCGCCAAGGCCCCCCGCUCUCACGGGCGGGGGGUACAUCGGUCUGGCUACGGCCCUAUAAUCUAUACAGGCGGCGUCCCCCGGGUCUUGAAACAAAGGGGGUACCGGUGGAACCCCGUCGGUCGGGCCGUAACACGGUCCGGCUGGCGGGGCUCUGCUCCGAUAUAACGCGAUAAUGGUUUUAAUGGGUUUAAAGCCUUGCUUCUUAGAGGGACUACCGGCCGCCAACCGGUGGAAGAUCAAGGCAAUAACAGGUCUGUGAUGCCCUUCGAUGUUCUCGGCCACACGCACGCUACACUGAACAUUCUAGAGAGUCCAAGCUGCGACGGGGACCCGCUAAUAUCAAAAUUACCGGCCCCGGAGCGGUGGAGGCAAGGCCGAGAGGCUGAGGUAAUCUGGAACGGUGUUCGUGCUAGGGAUAAUCGAUUGCAAUUAUCCGAUUUGAACGAGGAAUUCCUAGUAAGUACGGUUCAUCACACCGUGCUGACUACGUCCCUAUUUUUUGUACACACCGCCCGUCGCUCCUACCGAUCGAACACUGGGGUGAAGCCGGUCGGGUCGCCUCGCUCUGCGGGCCCUGCUUGAAAAGGCUAGGGCGGCAGGGCGGCUGGGCGGCUUUGGCCGGUUCAGCCCCCGGGUUUAGAGGAAGGAGAAGUCGUAACAAGGUAUUCGUAGGUGAACCUGCAAAAGGAUCA
Molecule: ribosomal RNA, 2268 nt
Filed under: Ceratiomyxa fruticulosa
Lineage: Eukaryota; Evosea; Eumycetozoa; Ceratiomyxaceae
Description: partial small subunit ribosomal RNA
Rfam family: Eukaryotic small subunit ribosomal RNA
Source: RNAcentral